AAAAAGAUAAGCUAAAUUUAAGCUAAUGGGUUCAUACCUCAUUUAUGAUAAUAAUUCUCUUUUUA
This 65-nucleotide transfer RNA is filed under the name Cylindratus longicephalus. RNAcentral describes it as "tRNA-Met". The record is from RNAcentral. Lineage: Eukaryota; Metazoa; Arthropoda; Insecta; Hemiptera; Caliscelidae.